GAUGAACGCUAGCGGGAGGCCUAACACAUGCAAGCCGAGCGGUAUUGUUUCUUCGGAAAUGAGAGAGCGGCGUACGGGUGCGGAACACGUGUGCAACCUGCCUUUAUCUGGGGGAUAGCCUUUCGAAGGGAAGAUUAAUACUCCAUAAUAUAUUGAACGGCAUCGUUUAAUAUUGAAAGCUUCGGCGGAUAGAGAUGGGCACGCGCAAGAUUAGCUAGUUGGUGAGGUAACGGCUCACCAAGGCGAUGAUCUUUAGGGGGCCUGAGAGGGUGAUCCCCCACACUGGUACUGAGACACGGACCAGACUCCUACGGGAGGCAGCAGUGAGGAAUAUUGGUCAAUGGGUGCAAGCCUGAACCAGCCAUCCCGCGUGAAGGACGACUGCCCUAUGGGUUGUAAACUUCUUUUGUAUAGGGAUAAACCUACCCUCGUGAGGGUAGCUGAAGGUACUAUACGAAUAAGCACCGGCUAACUUCGUGCCAGCAGCCGCGGUAA
RNAcentral lists this ribosomal RNA (495 nucleotides) under uncultured bacterium. RNAcentral's name for it is "partial 16S ribosomal RNA". It matches the Rfam family "Bacterial small subunit ribosomal RNA", at positions 28 to 523 of the family's 1533-position model. The record is from RNAcentral.